GACGGACGGUGCAAGCGUUGCUCGGAAUCACUGGGCGUAAAGGGUGCGUAGGCGGCCGUGCAAGUCUGGCGUGAAAGCCCCGGGCUCAGCCCGGGAAGUGCGCUCGAAACUGCGCGGCUCGAGUGCCGGAGGGGAGAGUGGAAUUCCCGGUGUAGCGGUGAAAUGCGCAGAUAUCGGGAAGAACACCCGUGGCGAAGGCGGUUCUCUGGGACGGUACUGACGCUGAGACGCGAAAGCGUGGGGAGCGAACAGG
This 253-nucleotide ribosomal RNA is filed under the name uncultured bacterium. RNAcentral describes it as "partial 16S ribosomal RNA". It matches the Rfam family "Bacterial small subunit ribosomal RNA", at positions 524 to 776 of the family's 1533-position model. The record is from RNAcentral.